CACGUAGGCACCAAGCGUUGUCCGGAUUUAUUGGGCGUAAAGAGCUCGUAGGCGGUUCAGUAAGUCGGGUGUGAAAACUUUGGGCUCAACCCAAAGCGUGCAUCCGAUACUGCUGUGACUUGAGUUCGGUAGGGGAGUGGGGAAUUCCUAGUGUAGCGGUGAAAUGCGCAGAUAUUAGGAGGAACACCGGUGGCGAAGGCGCCACUCUGGGCCGAAACUGACGCUGAGGAGCGAAAGCAUGGGUAGCAAACAGG
RNAcentral lists this ribosomal RNA (254 nucleotides) under uncultured bacterium. RNAcentral's name for it is "partial 16S ribosomal RNA". It matches the Rfam family "Bacterial small subunit ribosomal RNA", at positions 524 to 776 of the family's 1533-position model. The record is from RNAcentral.